AGCAGCCGCCACGGGAAUACGUAGGGUGCGAGCGUUAAUCGGAAUUACUGGGCGUAAAGCGUGCGCAGGCGGUUCGUUAAGACAGAUGUGAAAUCCCCGGGCUUAACCUGGGAACUGCAUUUGUGACUGGCGAGCUAGAGUAUGGCAGAGGGGGGUAGAAUUCCACGUGUAGCAGUGAAAUGCGUAGAGAUGUGGAGGAAUACCGAUGGCGAAGGCAGCCCCCUGGGCCAAUGCCGACGCUCAUGCACGAAAGCGUGGGGAGCAAACAGGAUUAGAUACCCCGGUAGUCCCUGUCUCUUAUAC
This 303-nucleotide ribosomal RNA is filed under the name uncultured bacterium. RNAcentral's name for it is "partial 16S ribosomal RNA". It matches the Rfam family "Bacterial small subunit ribosomal RNA", at positions 507 to 807 of the family's 1533-position model. The record is from RNAcentral.